This 219-nucleotide ribosomal RNA is filed under the name Eciton vagans. Its description in RNAcentral is "partial large subunit ribosomal RNA". The record is from RNAcentral. Lineage: Eukaryota; Metazoa; Arthropoda; Insecta; Hymenoptera; Formicidae.
GAAUUUUAUAAAUAUUAUAUUAAAAUUCAUUAAGAUUAAUAUUUAUUUGGUUGGAAGGACAUUUAAAUUAAAUUAACUUUAAAUUAAUUGAUAUCAUUAAUUAACGAAAAAUGAAUUAAUAUUAAUGAUAAGAUAGAGAUUACAUUAAUAAUAGCAUAAAUUACCUUAGGGAUAACAGCAUUAUGUUUUUGGAGAGUUCGUAUUGAUAAAAAUGUUUGU